RNAcentral lists this ribosomal RNA (463 nucleotides) under uncultured soil bacterium. Its description in RNAcentral is "bacterial SSU rRNA". It matches the Rfam family "Bacterial small subunit ribosomal RNA", at positions 60 to 519 of the family's 1533-position model. The record is from RNAcentral.
AGUCGAACGGUAAGUUGAGUAGCAAUACUUGACCUAGAGUGACGUACGGGUGCGUAACACGUAUGCAACCUACCCAAAACUGGAGUAUAGCUCGGGGAAACCCGAAUUAACCCUCCAUAAGAUCGUGGUAUAGCAUUAUACAGCGAUAAAAACUCAGGUGGUUUUGGAUGGGCAUGCGUCUGAUUAGUUAGUUGGUGAGGUAACGGCUCACCAAGACGAUGAUCAGUAGGGGAACUGAGAGGUUGAUCCCCCACACUGGCACUGAGAUACGGGCCAGACUCCUACGGGAGGCAGCAGUAGGGAAUAUUGGUCAAUGGAUGCAAGUCUGAACCAGCCAUGCCGCGUGCAGGAAGAAGGCCUUCUGGGUUGUAAACUGCUUUUGCCGGGGGAUAAAAUGAGCAUGCGUGCUUAAUUGAAGGUACCUGGUGAAUAAGCCACGGCUAACUACGUGCCAGCAGCCGCG